Molecule: ribosomal RNA, 659 nt
Filed under: uncultured delta proteobacterium
Lineage: Bacteria; Deltaproteobacteria
Description: bacterial SSU rRNA
Rfam family: Bacterial small subunit ribosomal RNA
Source: RNAcentral
GCGUGGGUAAUCUACCUUCGAAUUGGGGAUAACGUUGCGAAAGCGACGCUAAUACCGAAUAAUAUCCAUUGAUCUUCGGAUCUUUGGAUCAAGGAUGGCCUCUACAUGUAAGCUAUUGUUUGAAGAUGAGCCCGCGUACCAUUAGCUUGUUGGUGGGGUAACGGCCUACCAAGGCAACGAUGGUUAGCUGGUCUGAGAGGAUGAUCAGCCACACUGGAACUGACACACGGUCCAGACUCCUACGGGAGGCAGCAGUGAGGAAUUUUGCGCAAUGGGCGAAAGCCUGACGCAGCAACGCCGCGUGAGUGAUGAAGGCCUUCGGGUCGUAAAGCUCUGUCAAGUGGGAAGAACCUAUAUAAUGCCAAUACCAUUAUAUACUGACGGUACCACUGAAGGAAGCACCGGCUAACUCCGUGCCAGCAGCCGCGGUAAUACGGGGGGUGCAAGCGUUAUUCGGAAUCAUUGGGCGUAAAGAGCACGUAGGCGGCCUGGUAAGUCAGAUGUGAAGGCCCGGGGCUUAACCCCGGAAGUGCAUUUGAUACUGUCAGGCUUGAGUAUGGGAGAGGGAAGUGGAAUUCCUGGUGUAGAGGUGAAAUUCGUAGAUAUCAGGAGGAACACCGGUGGCGAAGGCGACUUCCUGGACCAAUACUGACGCUGAG